This 458-nucleotide ribosomal RNA is filed under the name uncultured bacterium. Its description in RNAcentral is "bacterial SSU rRNA". It matches the Rfam family "Bacterial small subunit ribosomal RNA", at positions 340 to 789 of the family's 1533-position model. The record is from RNAcentral.
UACGGAAGGCAGCAGUAGGGAAUCUUCCGCAAUGGACGAAAGUCUGACGGAGCAACGCCGCGUGAACGAUGAAGGCUUUCGGGUCGUAAAGUUCUGUUGUUAGGGAAGAACAAGUACCGGAGUAACUGCCGGUACCUUGACGGUACCUAACCAGAAAGCCACGGCUAACUACGUGCCAGCAGCCGCGGUAAUACGUAGGUGGCAAGCGUUGUCCGGAAUUAUUGGGCGUAAAGCGCGCGCAGGCGGUCCUUUAAGUCUGAUGUGAAAGCCCACGGCUCAACCGUGGAGGGUCAUUGGAAACUGGGGGACUUGAGUGCAGAAGAGGAGAGUGGAAUUCCACGUGUAGCGGUGAAAUGCGUAGAGAUGUGGAGGAACACCAGUGGCGAAGGCGACUCUCUGGUCUGUAACUGACGCUGAGGCGCGAAAGCGUGGGGAGCGAACAGGGAUUAGAUACCCGU